UACGUAGGGUGCAAGCGUUGUCCGGAAUUAUUGGGCGUAAAGAGCUCGUAGGCGGUUUGUCGCGUCUGCUGUGAAAACUCGGGGCUUAACCCCGGGCCUGCAGUGGGUACGGGCAGACUAGAGUGCGGUAGGGGAGACUGGAAUUCCUGGUGUAGCGGUGAAAUGCGCAGAUAUCAGGAGGAACACCGGUGGCGAAGGCGGCUCACUGGACCGGUACUGACGCUGAUGCGCGAAAGCGUGGGGAGCAAACGGG
This 253-nucleotide ribosomal RNA is filed under the name uncultured bacterium. RNAcentral describes it as "partial 16S ribosomal RNA". It matches the Rfam family "Bacterial small subunit ribosomal RNA", at positions 524 to 776 of the family's 1533-position model. The record is from RNAcentral.